CGUGUAGGCGGGGACAUAAGUCAGAUGUGAAAUACCGAGGCUUAACUUCGGGGCUGCAUCUGAAACUAUGUUUCUUGAGUGUCGGAGAGGAAAGUGGAAUUCCCAGUGUAGCGGUGAAAUGCGUAGAUAUUGGGAGGAACACCAGUGGCGAAGGCGACUUUCUGGACGAUAACUGACGCUGAGGCGCGAAAGCGUGGGGAGCAAACAGGAUUAGAUACCCUGGUAGUCCACGCUGUAAACGAUGGAUACUAGGUGUAGGAGGUAUCGACCCCUUCUGUGCCGGAGUUAACACAAUAAGUAUCCCACCUGGGGAGUACGGCCGCAAGGUCGAAA
This 333-nucleotide ribosomal RNA is filed under the name uncultured bacterium. RNAcentral's name for it is "bacterial SSU rRNA". It matches the Rfam family "Bacterial small subunit ribosomal RNA", at positions 568 to 899 of the family's 1533-position model. The record is from RNAcentral.